GAUGAAGAACGCAGCGAAAUGCGAUAAGUAAUGUGAAUUGCAGAAUUCAGUGAAUCAUCGAAUCUUUGAACGCACAUUGCGCCCGCCAGUAUUCUGGCGGGCAUGCCUGUUCGAGCGUCAUUACAACCCUCAGGCCCCCGGGCCUGGCGUUGGGGAUCGGCGGAAGCCCCCUGCGGGCACAACGCCGUCCCCCAAAUACAGUGGCGGUCCCGCCGCAGCUUCCAUUGCGUAGUAGCUAACACCUCGCAACUGGAGAGCGGCGCGGCCACGCCGUAAAACACCCAACUUCUGAAUGUUGACCUCGAAUCAGGUAGGAAUACCUGCUGAACUUAAGCAUAUCAAUAAGCGGAGGA
This 353-nucleotide unclassified non-coding RNA is filed under the name soil metagenome. RNAcentral's name for it is "partial contains 5.8S ribosomal RNA, internal transcribed spacer 2, and large subunit ribosomal RNA". The stretch from base 1 to 120 matches the Rfam family "5.8S ribosomal RNA", at positions 35 to 154 of the family's 154-position model. The record is from RNAcentral.